Molecule: ribosomal RNA, 443 nt
Filed under: uncultured bacterium
Lineage: Bacteria
Description: partial 16S ribosomal RNA
Rfam family: Bacterial small subunit ribosomal RNA
Source: RNAcentral
CCUACGGGAGGCUGCAGUGGGGAAUAUUGGACAAUGGGGGGAACCCUGAUCCAGCGACGCCGCGUGAGUGAAGAAGUAUUUCGGUAUGUAAAGCUCUAUCAGCAGGGAAGAAAGAAAUGACGGUACCUGACUAAGAAGCCCCGGCUAACUACGUGCCAGCAGCCGCGGUAAUACGUAGGGGGCAAGCGUUAUCCGGAUUUACUGGGUGUAAAGGGAGCGUAGACGGCGAUGCAAGUCUGAAGUGAAAGGCGGGGGCCCAACCCCUGGACUGCUUUGGAAACUGUAUGGCUGGAGUGCAGGAGAGGUAAGUGGAAUUCCUAGUGUAGCGGUGAAAUGCGUAGAUAUCAGGAGGAACACCGGUGGCGAAGGCGGCCUGCUGGACUGCAACUGACGUUGAGGCCCGAAAGCGUGGGGAGCAAACAGGAUUAGAUACCCCGGUAGUC